UUAAGAUGGAGGCAAGAAAACUG
Molecule: non-coding RNA, 23 nt
Filed under: Cricetulus griseus (Chinese hamster)
Lineage: Eukaryota; Metazoa; Chordata; Mammalia; Rodentia; Cricetidae
Source: RNAcentral